This is a long non-coding RNA of Fundulus heteroclitus (mummichog), 394 nucleotides long. RefSeq lists it as uncharacterized. NCBI's taxonomy places the organism in Eukaryota, Metazoa, Chordata, Actinopteri, Cyprinodontiformes, Fundulidae. The record is from RefSeq and is a predicted model, not a curated record. The transcript is spliced from 3 exons.
UUCUUCUUCCCAUCUUUCUGGUACAGGUUGAUCUUAGCAUCAUCUGUCCAAAGAAUGCUGUUCCAGAACUGGGUUGGCUUCUUCAGAUGUUUUUUCUUGACAAAAUCAAACUUAGAUACUGAUACACCUACUGCCUGGAGAGUGUUCUUCGCUGAGUGGAUGUUGUGAAGGUUGUUCUUCACCAUGGAAAGGAUUCUGCGAUCAUCCACUACUGUUGUCUUCGGUGGACGUCCAGGAUGGUCUGUUUCACCUCUAUGGAGAGCUCCUUUGACCGCAUGUUGUGUGUUCACAACAACAGCUUUAAAAUGCAAACGACACACCAGGAAUCAACUCCAGACCUUCUAACUGCUUAAUUGAUGACAGGUUAAUGAGGGAAGAGCCCAUGCAGCCUUGU